This 262-nucleotide ribosomal RNA is filed under the name Stilesia globipunctata. Its description in RNAcentral is "partial 5.8S ribosomal RNA". The record is from RNAcentral. Lineage: Eukaryota; Metazoa; Platyhelminthes; Cestoda; Cyclophyllidea; Anoplocephalidae.
CGCUCGACUCAUGUCGGCAGCGUGUGGCUCGAUGUAAGCUAGAAGUAGCCAGCGAUCAGCUGGUCCACACCACUCGUUUAAACAAUGUGUGGUCGACUGGCAGUUUGACUGGUUGCUGCUGGCUGUUGAGCCUAACAAACUUGCAGCUGGUGGUAGUAGCGCUGGGCUAGUCCGGCGUUAAUGCUGAUCAGUUGCGGUGAAUAAUAUACGGUAUGCGGUGGAUCACUCGGCUCGUGUGUCGAUGAAGAGUGCAGCCAACUGU